CCUCCAUUGUCUUCCUAAGACACCAAUAGAUUGGUCAAGUCGGCUAACAAAAUCAAUUAAAUAACUAUAUCUCAUUAACUUAUCUUAGACACCAAUAGGUCGAUUAAACAGAAUUGAUUAGCUCAAGUAAAUCAGGCUCAAACCAACGAGCCAAAUUAGGUCCUUAGGUUAAUCGAUUCUACAUAUGAGAUUCAAUCGAUUUGAUCAAC
Molecule: long non-coding RNA, 209 nt
Filed under: Elaeis guineensis (African oil palm)
Lineage: Eukaryota; Viridiplantae; Streptophyta; Magnoliopsida; Arecales; Arecaceae
Description: long non-coding RNA (EGUI_LNC044821)
Source: RNAcentral